AGACGUCUACAUUAGAUACCCCCGUAGUCCCAGCCGUAAACUAUGCGCGUUAGGUGUAUCGGUGACCACGAGUCACCGAGGUGCCGAAGGGAAACCGUGAAACGUGCCGCCUGGGAAGUACAGUCGCAAGGCUGAAACUUAGAGGAAUUGGCGGGGAGCACCACAACGGGUGGAGCCUGCGGUUUAAUUGGACUCAACGCCGGGAAGCUCACCGGAUAAGACAGCGGAAUGAUUGCCGGGCUGAAGACUCUGCAUGACUAGCUG
This 264-nucleotide ribosomal RNA is filed under the name uncultured archaeon. Its description in RNAcentral is "partial 16S ribosomal RNA". It matches the Rfam family "Archaeal small subunit ribosomal RNA", at positions 714 to 982 of the family's 1478-position model. The record is from RNAcentral.